This 471-nucleotide ribosomal RNA is filed under the name uncultured bacterium. Its description in RNAcentral is "bacterial SSU rRNA". It matches the Rfam family "Bacterial small subunit ribosomal RNA", at positions 37 to 507 of the family's 1533-position model. The record is from RNAcentral.
UAGCGGGAGGCCUAAUACAUGCAAGUCGAGCGGUAGAGUGACUUCGGUUUGCUUGAGAGCGGCGAACGGGUGAGUAACGCGUACACAAUCUACCUUUAAGAGGGGAAUAGCCCUGGGAAACUGGGAUUAAUGCCCCAUGGCAUCACGAGACGGCAUCGUUUUGUGAUUAAAGCUGAGGUGCUUGAGAUGAGUGUGCGUCUGAUUAGCUAGUUGGUGCGGUAACGGCGCACCAAGGCGACGAUCAGUAGGGGGCGUGAGAGCGUGGACCCCCACACGGGUACUGAGACACGGAUCCGACUCCUACGGGAGGCAGCAGUAAGGAAUAUUGGUCAAUGGAGGAAACUCUGAACCAGCCAUCCCGCGUGCAGGAAGAAUGCCCUAUGGGUUGUAAACUGCUUUUAUCUGGGAAGAAAAGUCGGGAUUUAUCCUGAUCUGACGGUACCAGAGGAAUAAGCACCGGCUAACUCCGUG